RNAcentral lists this unclassified non-coding RNA (329 nucleotides) under plant metagenome. Its description in RNAcentral is "partial contains 5.8S ribosomal RNA, internal transcribed spacer 2, and large subunit ribosomal RNA". The stretch from base 1 to 105 matches the Rfam family "5.8S ribosomal RNA", at positions 50 to 154 of the family's 154-position model. The record is from RNAcentral.
GAAAUGCGAUAAGUAAUGUGAAUUGCAGAAUUCCGUGAAUCAUCGAAUCUUUGAACGCACAUUGCGCCCUCUGGUAUUCCGGGGGGCAUGCCUGUCCGAGCGUCAUUGCGAACCCCUCAAGCACGGCUUGUGUGAUGGGCCCUCCCGCGUCUUGGUCGUCAAGACGGACCCGAAAUGCAGUGGCGGCUUCGCGGUUAUCCGAUCAGCCAGAGCGUAUGGGGACUUUCUCUCUGUCACACGCCCGCGGCGCGGACCGACGCCUGUCGACCUUCAUUCAUCGUUUUCUCGGUUGACCUCGGAUCAGGUAGGGAUACCCGCUGAACUUAAGC